AUUGAACGCUGGCGGCAUGCUUUACACAUGCAAGUCGAACGGCAGCGGGGAGGAGCUUGCUUCUCUGCCGGCGAGUGGCGAACGGGUGAGUCAUACAUCGGAACGUGUCGAGAAGAGGGGGAUAACCACCCGAAAGGGUGGCUAAUACCGCAUAAAUUCUGAGGAAGAAAGCUGGGGACCUAGGAAUAGGCCUAGCGCUUUUUGAGCGGCCGAUGUCGGAUUAGCUAGUUGGUGAGGUAAAGGCUCACCAAGGCGAAGAUCUGUAGCGGGUCUGAGAGGAUGAUCCGCCACACUGGGACUGAGACACGGCCCAGACUCCUACGGGAGGCAGCAGUGGGGAAUUUUGGACAAUGGGGGCAACCCUGAUCCAGCCAUGCCGCGUGUAUGAAGAAGGCCUUAGGGUUGUAAAGUACUUUUGUUAGGGAAGAAAAGUCAGCUGUGAAUAAUGGCUGAUACUGACGGUACCUAAAGAAUAAGCACCGGCUAACUACGUG
RNAcentral lists this ribosomal RNA (494 nucleotides) under uncultured bacterium. Its description in RNAcentral is "partial 16S ribosomal RNA". It matches the Rfam family "Bacterial small subunit ribosomal RNA", at positions 30 to 507 of the family's 1533-position model. The record is from RNAcentral.